This is a long non-coding RNA of Morone saxatilis (striped sea-bass), 2334 nucleotides long. RefSeq lists it as uncharacterized. The transcript has 3 exons. The record is from RefSeq and is a predicted model, not a curated record. Lineage: Eukaryota; Metazoa; Chordata; Actinopteri; Moronidae.
GCCGACAGGGAUUUGUUUUGCACUCUUCAGACUUCCUCCUCUGCGUGUUUUCAUAAACAAACCACAGUUGUUUCUCCCGCCGGGCCCGCCGCACGGUCCUCCUGUCAGCCUGCCAGCACUGUCGGAUUCCUGCUCCUGUUUCAGCGAAGGCCGUGGAGGAACUUUGGAAGCUGGUUCGGAUUCAAGCCCGGGACGCGGGUAAACGGGCUGCAGCGACCGACCGACCGACGGACGGACGGACCGACCGACAGACCGGAGGCUGUCUGUGUUUGUCUUUGUUGUCAACGCGUGGUCGACAGUUGGACGGAGCCGACCUGCCGACCACCUACCGCUGCUGUGAACCCGCUGUCAGCCACCUUGUGUCCGCCGUGCAGACUGUGAGGAGCUUCAGUGUUAUCAGCCAUGGUGAAGCUGACAAAGGCCAAGACGUUCCAGGCUUACCUGGACUCCUGCCACCGUCGCUACAGCUGUGUGCACUGCCGCGCCCACCUGGCCAACCAUGACGAUCUUAUCUCCAAGUCUUUCCAAGGCAGCCAGGGACGAGCCUACCUCUUCAACUCUGUGUGAGUAUUUUACUGGGUUCGUACAUGUGCUGCAAAUCCUUGACAACACUUGAAUUUUCAUGUGGUGUGUUUAAGGUCUGAAAAAUGCUUAGAUUUUGUAUAAAGUCCUUGAAAUAGCGUGAAAUCUUGAUUGCAUUACAUACAUAAUAAAUCACUAUCUGACUGAAUAGUUCGCUUUUUUGAGAACCACAUAUCUCGUCUAAUUUUAAUUCAAGAGGGCCUAUGAAUGGCUUAUUUAGCUUCAGAAGUAGGAGAAUUUUCUCAACCUAUAAAGGAACACAUGUUUACCUUCAGUUUAUCAAAAAAUUCACCUUCAAAAUCACCACAAAUGGAGAUAAAUGGAUUCCACUGAAGAGAAAGGAGAGAAAAUUAAAAACAGUUUGGUGUCCCCUGCUUAGUAUGUUGCUAACAUUAGCGUGUCAGCACACUAUUGUAGAAUCCUUUUGCACACAUGUGACUACUUCAGGUAACUGAAAUAAGAUCACUAAUAAUUUAAUAAUAAAAGUGGGGAAUUGUCAGUCAAUGCAUGCAUGUAUUUACACAGCUGCAUAAAGUGACAAAUUCCCAUAAUGAUCCUGGCUUUGUUUUUAAAUGUAUUCAUUACUGUGGCUUAAAGCUUUGCUCGGUGCACAGUUUCAGAUUCAAACAAAUUUAGUGCAUGGUGUUUAUUUUGGAAACAUUUUGGAAUUGGAACCUUUUGAACUGGAUUCAGCCUUGGUUACCACGGAGAGCAUGGGUGUAUCUUUGGAACCUCUCUGACUUCAUGAACCUGCAGAAGAUAAUUCAACUUAAUUCACACAUUAACGGUAAGAAAACAUGUUUUCUUCAGCUGUUUUAUUUCUAUGUGAUGGUCUGUAGUUUAGAGGGGUGUGUCGUCAAGAAAACUUAAAUCCAGACAAACAGAUUUGGCUGCCAGAGCUUUACUGGCAGAUAGAGAACUCAAGAGCCAACCAUCAUUCAUUUACUUAAAUUACUUUACUUUACUUAAGUUGGUUGUUAAUUUUACAAUGUGAAACCUUUUAAUUUUGGUAUUUAAUGGAAUCAAUUGAUUAGCUAGUUAAAUUGUUUUGUAAAUUUACUAACUCUUGUCUUGUUGGGAAGUGGAAGAAGUGCCCUUCCUUUGCACAAGUAGCUAAAGACAAUUCAAUUGUUUUAUUGUUCCCAUUUUCCAAAUAUAACAUUAGUUCAUUUUUAAGCUAAAGUUUGAAUAUUAACCAUAAAAAAGAACUACAGCAACACUAACGUUACUUAACGUACUAUAUGGAAACUUGUGUUUUCAAGGACACUUACUAUCUUUAUUUGAUUUGGUCAGAGUCACGGAUUGAGGGAUAUCUGGUAGAAGAGAAGAGUAAUACAAGCAGCACAAUGAGUCCAUCAGCAGGGGUAAGUUUCUUUAACUUUAAAGCCACUAUGUGUGGAAUUUGAAAAUGUAACUUUACUACCUCAGCACCCGUCAGUGGUAAUUUAGUACCGUGUAAAUCAGCUCCUAGGAAACAUCUGGAGCAAAUGCUUAGGCCACAACAAAGAAAACAAAACUGUGAUCCUUAAGAUCCUUCACUGUGAUUAUUAGGCUACCAUGGUAUGGAGGCCAGAAGACAUUUUCAGGUUUCAUUACAAAGACAAAAAUAGACUUGACAAAAAGACUGUCCAUUUUGUCCUUGUUGCAGGACACCUGUUCUUGUGUCACUAGGUAGCAUUCGCCAUUUAAUAUACUUUCCAUUCGUGUGACUUGAUUCUUGUGACCAUCUCCAUCUCUGUCCUUUUUUUUUUU